This 482-nucleotide ribosomal RNA is filed under the name uncultured bacterium. RNAcentral's name for it is "partial 16S ribosomal RNA". It matches the Rfam family "Bacterial small subunit ribosomal RNA", at positions 30 to 507 of the family's 1533-position model. The record is from RNAcentral.
AUUGAACGCUGGCGGCAUGCCUUACACAUGCCAGUCGAACGGUAACGGGCCUUCGGGUGCCGACGAGUGGCGCACGGGUGAGUAAUACAUCGGAACGUGCCCGAUCGUGGGGGAUAACGAGGCGAAAGCUUUGCUAAUACCGCAUACGAUCUACGGAUGAAAGCAGGGGACCGCAAGGCCUUGCGCGGACGGAGCGGCCGAUGGCAGAUUAGGUAGUUGGUGGGAUAAAAGCUUACCAAGCCGACGAUCUGUAGCUGGUCUGAGAGGAUGAUCAGCCACACUGGGACUGAGACACGGCCCAGACUCCUACGGGAGGCAGCAGUGGGGAAUUUUGGACAAUGGGCGCAAGCCUGAUCCAGCCAUGCCGUGUGCAGGAUGAAGGCCUUCGGGUUGUAAACUGCUUUUGUACGGAACGAAAAGCCUUCUUUUAAUACAGGAGGGUCAUGACGGUACCGUAAGAAUAAGCACCGGCUAACUACGUG